UCAGGCUCUUUGGGCUCCAUGGACAGCUGCAGAUCCACAGGGUAACACUGCUGUGCUAAUGGAUAGAAAAUUGCCUGGAAGGCUGCUGGAAAAGUUGUAGUGGCGACUGGUCCUGAACCACUGAGCGUGGAGUUUCUGAACUGUCCUGCCAGGGGGAUGGGUGAUGUGAAGAGUUCCACUCGUGACUCCCGGAGCAUCCGCAGGUCUCCCGGAGAUGUUCCAGGAACCUCCUUUAGCCGCUG
Molecule: long non-coding RNA, 242 nt
Organism: Manacus vitellinus (golden-collared manakin)
Lineage: Eukaryota; Metazoa; Chordata; Aves; Passeriformes; Pipridae
Exons: 3
Source: RefSeq, a predicted model, not a curated record